This is a non-coding RNA of Schistosoma mattheei, 46 nucleotides long. The record is from Rfam. Lineage: Eukaryota; Metazoa; Platyhelminthes; Trematoda; Strigeidida; Schistosomatidae.
AGACCACUGAGGAGUCCCAUACUAGGACGAAACGGCCGUCCAGUGC